GAGUGAAGCGGCAACAGCUCAAAUUUGAAAUCUGGGCCCGAGUUGUAAUUUGUAGAGGAUACUUUUGAUGCGGUCCUUCCGAGUUCCCUGGAACGGGACGCCAUAGAGGGUGAGAGCCCCGUCUGGUUGGAUGCCAUCUCUGUAAAGUUCCUUCAACGAGUCGAGUAGUUUGGGAAUGCUGCUCUAAAUGGGAGGUAUAUGUCUUCUAAAGCUAAAUACCGGCCAGAGACCGAUAGCGCACAAGUAGAGUGAUCGAAAGAUGAAAAGCACUUUGAAAAGAGAGUUAAAAAGUACGUGAAAUUGUUGAAAGGGAAGCGUUUAUGACCAGACUUGGGCUUGGAAUCAUCUGGGGUUCUCCCCAGUGCACUUUCCAGUCAGGCCAGCAUCAGUUUUCCCCGGGGGAUAAGGCGGCGGGAAUGUGGCUCUGGGAGUGUUAUAGCCCACCGUAUACCCUGGGGGGGACUGAGGUUCGCGCAUCUGCAAGGAUGCUGGCGUAAUGGUCAUCAACGACCCGUCUUGAAACACGGACCAAGGAGUCGUCUUCGUAUGCGAGUGUUCGGGUGUCAAACCCCUACGCGUAAUGAAAGUGAACGCAGGUGAGAGCGGCGCAUCAUCGACCGAUCCUGAUGUUCUCGGAUGGAUUUGAGUAAGAGCAUACGGGGCCGGACCCGAAAGAAGGUGAACUAUGCCUGUAUAGGGUGAAGCCAGAGGAAA
RNAcentral lists this ribosomal RNA (714 nucleotides) under Fusarium sp. ES173. RNAcentral describes it as "LSU rRNA". It matches the Rfam family "Eukaryotic large subunit ribosomal RNA", at positions 91 to 861 of the family's 3401-position model. The record is from RNAcentral. Lineage: Eukaryota; Fungi; Ascomycota; Sordariomycetes; Hypocreales; Nectriaceae.